GCCCGAAUGGCGGAACGGUAGACGCAAACGACUCAAAAUCGUUCGGAGAAAUCCAUGGGGGUUCAAAUCCCCCUUUGGGCACCA
Molecule: transfer RNA, 84 nt
Filed under: Bacilli bacterium
Lineage: Bacteria; Bacillati; Bacillota; Bacilli
Description: tRNA-Leu
Rfam family: tRNA
About the family: Transfer RNA (tRNA) molecules are approximately 80 nucleotides in length.
Source: RNAcentral